Phrynosoma platyrhinos (Desert horned lizard) is the source of this 72-nucleotide non-coding RNA. NCBI's taxonomy places the organism in Eukaryota, Metazoa, Chordata, Lepidosauria, Squamata, Phrynosomatidae. The record is from the annotation of a GenBank genome assembly.
GCAGCUGUAGCUCAGAGGCAGAGCACCUGCUUUGUAUGCUGAAGGUCCUGGGUUCAGUUCCUGACAUCUCCA